RNAcentral lists this ribosomal RNA (257 nucleotides) under uncultured bacterium. RNAcentral's name for it is "partial 16S ribosomal RNA". It matches the Rfam family "Bacterial small subunit ribosomal RNA", at positions 54 to 339 of the family's 1533-position model. The record is from RNAcentral.
CAUGCAAGUCGAACGCAGUAGCAAUACUUAGUGGCAGACGGGUGAGUAACAUGUGGGUAUCUGCCCUUUGGCCUGGAAUAACACGAGGAAACUUGUGCUAAUACCGGAUAAGCCCUCACGGGGAAAGUUUUAAUGCCAAAAGAUGAGCCCGCAUUUGAUUAGCUAGUUGGUGAGGUAAAAGCUCACCAAGGCGAUAAUCAAUAGCUGAUUUGAGAGGAUGAUCAGCCACACUGGGACUGAGGUACGGCCCAGACUCC